GGGUUGUGAGGUUAAGCGACUAAGCGUACACGGUGGAUGCCCUGGCAGUCAGAGGCGAUGAAGGACGUGCUAAUCUGCGAUAAGCGUCGGUAAGGUGAUAUGAACCGUUAUAACCGGCGAUUUCCGAAUGGGGAAACCCAGUGUGUUUCGACACACUAUCAUUAACUGAAUCCAUAGGUUAAUGAGGCGAACCGGGGGAACUGAAACAUCUAAGUACCCCGAGGAAAAGAAAUCAACCGAGAUUCCCCCAGUAGCGGCGAGCGAACGGGGAGCAGCCCAGAGUCUGAAUCAGUGUGUGUGUUAGUGGAAGCGUCUGGAAAGGCGCGCGAUACAGGGUGACAGCCCCGUACACAAAAAUGCACAUGCUGUGAGCUCGAUGAGUAGGGCGGGACACGUGGUAUCCUGUCUGAAUAUGGGGGGACCAUCCUCCAAGGCUAAAUACUCCUGACUGACCGAUAGUGAACCAGUACCGUGAGGGAAAGGCGAAAAGAACCCCGGCGAGGGGAGUGAAAAAGAACCUGAAACCGUGUACGUACAAGCAGUGGGAGCACGCUUAGGCGUGUGACUGCGUACCUUUUGUAUAAUGGGUCAGCGACUUAUAUUCUGUAGCAAGGUUAACCGAAUAGGGGAGCCGAAGGGAAACCGAGUCUUAACUGGGCGUUAAGUUGCAGGGUAUAGACCCGAAACCCGGUGAUCUAGCCAUGGGCAGGUUGAAGGUUGGGUAACACUAACUGGAGGACCGAACCGACUAAUGUUGAAAAAUUAGCGGAUGACUUGUGGCUGGGGGUGAAAGGCCAAUCAAACCGGGAGAUAGCUGGUUCUCCCCGAAAGCUAUUUAGGUAGCGCCUCGUGAAUUCAUCUCCGGGGGUAGAGCACUGUUUCGGCAAGGGGGUCAUCCCGACUUACCAACCCGAUGCAAACUGCGAAUACCGGAGAAUGUUAUCACGGGAGACACACGGCGGGUGCUAACGUCCGUCGUGAAGAGGGAAACAACCCAGACCGCCAGCUAAGGUCCCAAAGUCAUGGUUAAGUGGGAAACGAUGUGGGAAGGCCCAGACAGCCAGGAUGUUGGCUUAGAAGCAGCCAUCAUUUAAAGAAAGCGUAAUAGCUCACUGGUCGAGUCGGCCUGCGCGGAAGAUGUAACGGGGCUAAACCAUGCACCGAAGCUGCGGCAGCGACGCUUAUGCGUUGUUGGGUAGGGGAGCGUUCUGUAAGCCUGCGAAGGUGUGCUGUGAGGCAUGCUGGAGGUAUCAGAAGUGCGAAUGCUGACAUAAGUAACGAUAAAGCGGGUGAAAAGCCCGCUCGCCGGAAGACCAAGGGUUCCUGUCCAACGUUAAUCGGGGCAGGGUGAGUCGACCCCUAAGGCGAGGCCGAAAGGCGUAGUCGAUGGGAAACAGGUUAAUAUUCCUGUACUUGGUGUUACUGCGAAGGGGGGACGGAGAAGGCUAUGUUGGCCGGGCGACGGUUGUCCCGGUUUAAGCGUGUAGGCUGGUUUUCCAGGCAAAUCCGGAAAAUCAAGGCUGAGGCGUGAUGACGAGGCACUACGGUGCUGAAGCAACAAAUGCCCUGCUUCCAGGAAAAGCCUCUAAGCAUCAGGUAACAUCAAAUCGUACCCCAAACCGACACAGGUGGUCAGGUAGAGAAUACCAAGGCGCUUGAGAGAACUCGGGUGAAGGAACUAGGCAAAAUGGUGCCGUAACUUCGGGAGAAGGCACGCUGAUAUGUAGGUGAAGUCCCUCGCGGAUGGAGCUGAAAUCAGUCGAAGAUACCAGCUGGCUGCAACUGUUUAUUAAAAACACAGCACUGUGCAAACACGAAAGUGGACGUAUACGGUGUGACGCCUGCCCGGUGCCGGAAGGUUAAUUGAUGGGGUUAGCGCAAGCGAAGCUCUUGAUCGAAGCCCCGGUAAACGGCGGCCGUAACUAUAACGGUCCUAAGGUAGCGAAAUUCCUUGUCGGGUAAGUUCCGACCUGCACGAAUGGCGUAAUGAUGGCCAGGCUGUCUCCACCCGAGACUCAGUGAAAUUGAACUCGCUGUGAAGAUGCAGUGUACCCGCGGCAAGACGGAAAGACCCCGUGAACCUUUACUAUAGCUUGACACUGAACAUUGAGCCUUGAUGUGUAGGAUAGGUGGGAGGCUUUGAAGUGUGGACGCCAGUCUGCAUGGAGCCGACCUUGAAAUACCACCCUUUAAUGUUUGAUGUUCUAACGUUGACCCGUAAUCCGGGUUGCGGACAGUGUCUGGUGGGUAGUUUGACUGGGGCGGUCUCCUCCUAAAGAGUAACGGAGGAGCACGAAGGUUGGCUAAUCCUGGUCGGACAUCAGGAGGUUAGUGCAAUGGCAUAAGCCAGCUUGACUGCGAGCGUGACGGCGCGAGCAGGUGCGAAAGCAGGUCAUAGUGAUCCGGUGGUUCUGAAUGGAAGGGCCAUCGCUCAACGGAUAAAAGGUACUCCGGGGAUAACAGGCUGAUACCGCCCAAGAGUUCAUAUCGACGGCGGUGUUUGGCACCUCGAUGUCGGCUCAUCACAUCCUGGGGCUGAAGUAGGUCCCAAGGGUAUGGCUGUUCGCCAUUUAAAGUGGUACGCGAGCUGGGUUUAGAACGUCGUGAGACAGUUCGGUCCCUAUCUGCCGUGGGCGCUGGAGAACUGAGGGGGGCUGCUCCUAGUACGAGAGGACCGGAGUGGACGCAUCACUGGUGUUCGGGUUGUCAUGCCAAUGGCACUGCCCGGUAGCUAAAUGCGGAAGAGAUAAGUGCUGAAAGCAUCUAAGCACGAAACUUGCCCCGAGAUGAGUUCUCCCUGACUCCUUGAGAGUCCUGAAGGAACGUUGAAGACGACGACGUUGAUAGGCCGGGUGUGUAAGCGCAGCGAUGCGUUGAGCUAACCGGUACUAAUGAACCGUGAGGCUUAACCUUACAACGCCGAAG
RNAcentral lists this ribosomal RNA (2925 nucleotides) under Escherichia coli. RNAcentral describes it as "partial 23S ribosomal RNA". It matches the Rfam family "Bacterial large subunit ribosomal RNA". The record is from RNAcentral. Lineage: Bacteria; Pseudomonadati; Pseudomonadota; Gammaproteobacteria; Enterobacterales; Enterobacteriaceae.